RNAcentral lists this small RNA (538 nucleotides) under Pongo abelii (Sumatran orangutan). Its description in RNAcentral is "retained intron". Lineage: Eukaryota; Metazoa; Chordata; Mammalia; Primates; Hominidae. The record is from RNAcentral.
GAGAUGUGGUUCUGCGCGUGCGCGGACGGCUGUCUGUUAACUCCGCGGUCAGUUCCCGGACUGGCGGCUGGUCUGUAGGGUUGACCUACGCAAUGCAGAGGCUGCAGGUAGUGCUGGGCCACCUGAGGGGUCCGGCCGAUUCCGGCUGGAUGCCGCAGGCCGCGCCUUGCCUGAGCGGUGCCCCGCAGGCCUCGGCCGCGGACGUGGUGGUGGUGCACGGGCGGCGCACGGCCAUCUGCCGGGCGGGCCGCGGCGGCUUCAAGGACACCACCCCCGACGAGCUUCUCUCGGCAGUCAUGACCGCGGUUCUCAAGGACGUGAAUCUGAGGCCGGAACAGCUGGGGGACAUCUGUGUCGAUCAACAUGGAGUUUCUUAUGUCUUCCUUUUCUACAUACACACGGAAAUGUGCUGCAGCCUGGGGCCGGGGCAAUCAUGGCCCGAAUCGCCCAGUUUCUGAGGUAAACUUUUCUAGUUCUAGCCAUGGGUUGGCCAUUUUGAAGCUUUACUGGGCCCAGGCCCCAGGAAACUCAGUGUGCA